RNAcentral lists this ribosomal RNA (211 nucleotides) under uncultured bacterium. RNAcentral's name for it is "partial 16S ribosomal RNA". It matches the Rfam family "Bacterial small subunit ribosomal RNA", at positions 524 to 734 of the family's 1533-position model. The record is from RNAcentral.
GACAGAGGUGCCGAGCGUUAGGCGGAAUCACUGGGCUUAAAGCGUGUGUAGGCGGACCGUUAAGUACCUUGUGAAAUCCCCCGGCUCAACCGGGGAACGGCUGGGUAUACUGGCGGUCUUGAGCCAUCCAGGGCAGUCGGAACAGACGGUGGAGCGGUGAAAUGACGUAGAUAUCGUCUGGAACGCCGAAGGUGAAAACAGAACUGCUGGG